GGCGCUGUAGCUCAACUGGUAGAGCGUUGGAUUUCUAACUCAAAGGUUGUGGGAUUAUGCCCCACCAGCGUCAC
Molecule: transfer RNA, 74 nt
Filed under: Tupanvirus deep ocean
Lineage: Varidnaviria; Bamfordvirae; Nucleocytoviricota; Megaviricetes; Imitervirales; Mimiviridae
Also listed under: 1 other name
Description: tRNA-Arg
Rfam family: tRNA
About the family: Transfer RNA (tRNA) molecules are approximately 80 nucleotides in length. Their secondary structure includes four short double-helical elements and three loops (D, anti-codon, and T loops). Further hydrogen bonds mediate the characteristic L-shaped molecular structure. tRNAs have two regions of fundamental functional importance: the anti-codon, which is responsible for specific mRNA codon recognition, and the 3' end, to which the tRNAs corresponding amino acid is attached (by aminoacyl-tRNA synthetases). tRNAs cope with the degeneracy of the genetic code in two manners: having more than one tRNA (with a specific anti-codon) for a particular amino acid; and 'wobble' base-pairing, i.e. permitting non-standard base-pairing at the 3rd anti-codon position.
Source: RNAcentral